RNAcentral lists this ribosomal RNA (345 nucleotides) under Triticum aestivum (bread wheat). RNAcentral describes it as "partial small subunit ribosomal RNA". The record is from RNAcentral. Lineage: Eukaryota; Viridiplantae; Streptophyta; Magnoliopsida; Poales; Poaceae.
UGUUGGGAAGUAGUAAAGGGCUUGGUGCUUUUUGAACAUUUUCAUGCUUGUUCUUUAGAUGUUCACAGGCUCAGUUAUGGGGUUAUUACCCUUUUCCCCAAACUUUCCAAUGCCAACAAGAUUGAGCAAUAUAGGCCCAUCUGCUUGUUAAGAAGCAUCUAUAAAUGGAUUACAAAACCUCUACAUUUAAGAGCGGAAUAUUUUGUUCGUAAAUUAUGUAGUACACAACAAAAUGCUUUUAUCAAGAAUAGGUACAUUGUUGAUGGGAUUUUAUCCUUACAUGAGCUAAUGCAUCACCCAUGGUAUAUAGACAAACCCCUUAGCGAGCAUGCACCUGUAUUUUGA